ACGGGUGAGUAACACGUGGGUAACCUGCCUCAUAAAGGGGAAUAGCCUUUCGAAAGGAAGAUUAAUACCGCAUAAGAUUGUAGUACCGCAUGGUACAGCAAUUAAAGGAGCAAUCCGUUAUGAGAUGGACCCGCGUCGCAUUAGCUAGUUGGUGAGGUAACGGCUCACCAAGGCGACGAUGCGUAGCCGACCUGAGAGGGUGAUCGGCCACAUUGGGACUGAGACACGGCCCAGACUCCUACGGGAGGCAGCAGUGGGGAAUAUUGCACAAUGGGGGAAACCCUGAUGCAGCAACGCCGCGUGAGUGAUGAAGGUCUUCGGAUUGUAAAACUCUGUCUUCAGGGACGAUAAUGACGGUACCUGAGGAGGAAGCCACGGCUAACUACGUGCCAGCAGCCGCGGUAAUACGUAGGUGGCAAGCGUUGUCCGGAUUUACUGGGCGUAAAGGGAGCGUAGGUGGAUAUUUAAGUGGGAUGUGAAAUACUCGGGCUUAACCUGGGUGCUGCAUUCCAAACUGAAUAUCUAGAGUGCAGGAGAGGAAAGUAGAAUUCCUAGU
Molecule: ribosomal RNA, 556 nt
Filed under: uncultured bacterium
Lineage: Bacteria
Description: bacterial SSU rRNA
Rfam family: Bacterial small subunit ribosomal RNA
Source: RNAcentral